Molecule: small RNA, 78 nt
Filed under: Flavobacterium sp. 270
Lineage: Bacteria; Pseudomonadati; Bacteroidota; Flavobacteriia; Flavobacteriales; Flavobacteriaceae
Also listed under: 1 other name
Description: Flavo-1 RNA
Source: RNAcentral
UCCUAGGCCACGAUAGCAUGAAAUCUCUUUGUGCCGAAACCCGGCACAAAGAGAUUUCAAUGCAUAGAGGGAAAAACU